Molecule: transfer RNA, 77 nt
Filed under: Klebsiella pneumoniae
Lineage: Bacteria; Pseudomonadati; Pseudomonadota; Gammaproteobacteria; Enterobacterales; Enterobacteriaceae
Description: tRNA-Pro
Rfam family: tRNA
About the family: Transfer RNA (tRNA) molecules are approximately 80 nucleotides in length. Their secondary structure includes four short double-helical elements and three loops (D, anti-codon, and T loops).
Source: RNAcentral
CGGCACGUAGCGCAGCCUCGGUAGCGCACCGUCAUGGGGUGUCGGGGUCGGAGGUUCAAAUCCUCUCGUGCCGACCA